AAACUCAGUUGUUCCAGAGAUCUUUUAAAUGAUUUUGUGGAAAAACAACAGCACAACAACCUUUUUGAAAGUAAUUAAGAGGCAAGCAACUACCCAAAGAAAAUACAAACUUCAAGGUUCUUCGCUACGGAAGAAAAAGUUAUUACUCUUCUGUGCUAUCACUGAGAAAGGAUUAAUUCUACAUCCUGAGAAGCUUCUCCAUAUGCUUGUGAUGAGUAUGAACCCCCAGUCUUCUGAACAGUCCUGGACUGCUGACCUCACGCUCUGUACCUGGAACUCCAAUAGUGCUACUGAGGCAGGUUCUUGAGAUUAAUAUUCAGCACUUGGAGCAGAUCAGUGUGCUUCAGUGUGGUCCAGCAGAAUCAUUAAACAGGAAGAACCAACAGAUCUGCACAUUUGCUGAAGAAAAGUUAGAGGGGCAGAAGAACGAAGUGAAAAAUGACCCUUUACCAUUAUUGGAAUCUGAAGCUUAGUAAUUCUCAUUUGAGGCAGUAGAUGUGAAUGUAGGUAAAUUUAGGAUUAACUGAUAAUUAACCGUUUUGUUUGUUCUGGCUUCUGCGGCAUUCUUGGGGGGAAAAAAAAAAAAAAAAAAAAGUCACUUUCUUGGUAGAAUUUAUAAGUGUUCUGAAAUAAAUUUUAGAGGGGAAAUCUGACUCCCUGCA
RNAcentral lists this long non-coding RNA (662 nucleotides) under Coturnix japonica (Japanese quail). RNAcentral describes it as "lncRNA (ENSCJPG00005015538.1)". The record is from RNAcentral. Lineage: Eukaryota; Metazoa; Chordata; Aves; Galliformes; Phasianidae.